UUAAGAGUUAGUGGAAAUUAGUAUGUGAAGUAAAUAAUAAAAGAUAAAAAGUAAAAGAGAAGGAAGUGGUUCUUCUUUGAGGAAAUCUAUGGAAAUUUGCAGCUAACACACGAAGAAAAUGAGGAAGAUGAAUAUCUAAGAGUUCUGAAGCAAUUGAAGUAAGAUUUGUUGGUGAAAUUCAAGAAGGAAGUGAAGGAAGUCUGGAAUAGAGGUCAAUCUGAGCGUAUUCUGGGUUUUUUUGUGAGAUCUGGUUGUACAGGACGACUUAGAAGCUCCAAUUGGUCAGGUGGAAGUCAGUGAGUAAGAAAAAUCGCGAAACUGGAGAGAGCUCUGAUUUUGAAGCGGUUUGAGCUUUCUAGGAGGAGUUAGAUGCUGAAAUGUGUGAGGUGGAAGAGAAGGGGGUUGCAGGAAUCGUGAAGAAGGGUACCUUCUGGUUCGAGGCUAUUUCUGGACAAUCCAACGGUUUUUAGGUCUUCCUAUCUUCAGGGACUUGCUGCCAGCUUGUGUGCGUGCCUCACGGUCAAGAUCGCCCCUCAGCACGCCUAUUGCUUGCUUCAGCACCUUCCUAAGCCCACAGCACGCCCAUCCUUGCCCACACUUCUGUGUCAAUAGCCAUGGCACCUAAAUUUGAGUAUGUUAAAGACCUAUUUUGAAGUCUGGGUCAGACAAGGCUUUGUGACGUGUAUAAACCUGGGGAAACGAGCUCCGAAUUGUAGCGAAAGGUUUCCAGGAGCUUGACCUACCCUCGCAAAGUCUCUACUGUGGAUCCUCCCUUAGCUUGUUAGUAUUAAGUUUUGAGUUAGUUGGCAUGUAGUAGGCAUGGUGGAAAGUUGGGGUAGAGAGAACCUUUGUUGUGUAAACUUAGCAGAUGAUUGUAUAACGUUUACUUUCGUAUAUAUGAAAAUAUGUUGUGAAAA
This is a long non-coding RNA of Benincasa hispida (wax gourd), 917 nucleotides long. RefSeq lists it as uncharacterized. The record is from RefSeq and is a predicted model, not a curated record. NCBI's taxonomy places the organism in Eukaryota, Viridiplantae, Streptophyta, Magnoliopsida, Cucurbitales, Cucurbitaceae.